Entelurus aequoreus (snake pipefish) is the source of this 1155-nucleotide long non-coding RNA. RefSeq lists it as uncharacterized. NCBI's taxonomy places the organism in Eukaryota, Metazoa, Chordata, Actinopteri, Syngnathiformes, Syngnathidae. The record is from RefSeq and is a predicted model, not a curated record. The transcript has 5 exons.
UGAGGAGGUGACGACACCGUUCAGCACCGGACGUCCUCGAAGCACCGCGUCACUAUUUCCACUAGUGUGGAGCCAAAUUCAAGACAUCAAAUGAAUUGAGUGGACUAAUAGUUGAACAUGUUGCUGCGUGUCUUACUAAGCCGGGAGCAGAAUGUCUGGCUGUGUGAUCUAACACUUGAAGUAUUCCUAAAAGAAUUGGAGAGCGACUUGCGGUAGCGGCCGACGUCUCCCGUGCCACUGAUGUGCCACGACCCCCAGCUGCUGCAGGAGUCACAGGAACACAUCGUCACAACAAUAGGCGGCGGAAAAAUCUAACUUCCAGAGGGGAAGGAAGCAAAAACCGGAACACAUUGGACUUUGUGACCUUUCACCUAUUCACUUAUAUUAGCUGAAACUUCCUUCAUGACUCAUUGUACAAAUAGUCACGCGGUCCAUCUGCAGUGUACACACACACACACACAUAAUCCAGUCAGUGUUUCUGCUGGUGAUCAAAUAUUCACGGAUGAUGAACUUUGUCUUCACGAUGCAAUGGCCUCAGUCAGCUCCGCACUAAAGCUGCAUGACAUUUAGGAAGGUAGUCGGAAGCGUCUGCUGUUGUUGUUGUGCCGCUUCACUGCUUGCCAGAUUGGCUCCAAACAAUCAGAGGAAGCCCAAAGCAAACAGACGCCAUGUUGGAGCCAAACUCUGCAGCAGAUGUCAAAGACUGAACAUCUACUGGGACAAAGUCCACCUUAAAUGUUCUCCUUCUUCCAUACUUUUGUACUCAUCUAUUGGGGUCACUUAGUGUACCAAAGAGUAAUAAAGUCACGCUGAAAAGGACAACAAUCAUCCAAAGGGGAUUAAAGAAAAAUACUGUAUAUUAGGAGGAAAUCCAUGGGUAAUCUUGCGGUAUUAGGUUGUUUUUUCUGCAGUGAAAAAGUAGAAAUUUUAUGAGAAGAAUAUAUAUAUUCUUAGGCAUUAACGUUAAAUACUUUAUUACUAUAUAUUUUUUUCAACUUUUAGACUUGAAAGUCCAAAUUUUGUCCAAACAGAAAAUCUAUCCCAGCUGCACUCGGGCGGACGGCAGGGUACAUCCUGGACAAGUCCAGGGAAAAACUAAAGUUAUGUCAUCAUACAUACAGUACAGGCCAAAAGUUUGGACACACCUUCUCUUUC